Molecule: long non-coding RNA, 1158 nt
Filed under: Monodelphis domestica (gray short-tailed opossum)
Lineage: Eukaryota; Metazoa; Chordata; Mammalia; Didelphimorphia; Didelphidae
Description: lncRNA (ENSMODG00000037000.1)
Source: RNAcentral
CAGCGGAAGUUUAGGGGCGGGGCCCACGGGAUGGAUUGAAAGUGUGGGCCUCAGGAUGAGAGAGGGGAGCAACUUUAGGGUAGAGUUGAGGCGGUCGGACUAGAUGGAGGUGGGGACAAGGGGCACCUCAGGACGCGGACGCAGCCGCCAACCACCAGGACGCCGGCCUGUGACCUGGGAAAUCUCUGACUCAGAGCCCGAGAGCCCAUCCAGCUACCGUGCCGAGGGCCUUGGUGACCCAGGAGAGGCGAGUGCCGAAUCUAAGGACCCUGGGGGCCUUGAUCCCCCAGUGGGUCCCGUGGCUGCUCCGGGGCAAGCCCGGCCUCGGGAAAGGGUGGGGAGAAAGGCGCAGGAGAAGCUGGGUACUGCAGCUGCUCGAGCCGAGGCCCGGAGGAAGGACCGGGAGCUGGAAAGGCAGAAGAGGAAAAGUGCAGCUGAAGCCCUCAGGCUAAUGCGACCGGACCGUUGCCUGAUGCACUUGACCGUCCUUCUGGACCCAGCUCUCCUGGAAAAUGCUGGCUCUGAUAUCCUAAUAGAGGCUUUGGUUUCCCUGAAAUGUGAGUAUGUCAUUGAGCCUCAGCCAUGGGUCCAAAGUCUCACCUGGAAGAGAUCAGUGCCAACCAUCUGCCAGAGCAGUGUGAGUAGUCUUCUUGUUAUACCUCAGAAUCCAAGACAGGAAAUGCUGAUUCCCUCAGUGACUGUCCUUUUUCCACCAUGACCACAAACAUGUUUUAGUUCUAUCAGUACUGCCAGGCAAUUCUAGAGUACUCUUUUCUAAAUUUCACCUUUCAGUUCUGCAAGAUGCUGGCUCAGUCUAGUGACAGCUCUGGAGUCAGUGCUUUGAGAGCCUAAGGUUGUGGGCUCUGAUCCAGCCAACAACUGUUGUGUCCCCACAGGCUGCUCCUGCUUCACUAUGGGUUGCAGAAGUUCAGGAAGUACUGGUGGUCCUGGAACCAGAGGAAUUUCUCAAAGGCCUCAUCUCACUAGCACAGGUGCUGGGGAGUGAGAGAGUCAGCCACUCCUUGGCAGCCUCUCUCUUUAUUCAAGAUGCUAAACUAUUUUCUAGCCCUGUCUUAUCUACCCCUGCCCCAGUAUAUUCACAUCUAAAGCUGGCAGCAGGGAGAAUUCAUCUUUAGGCCCAGAGGUUCCUCUUUUUUU